GGUGGCUCAGUGGUAGAGCAUUUGCCUUGCAUGCAUGAGGCCCUGGGUUUGACUCCCCAGCACCA
Molecule: transfer RNA, 65 nt
Filed under: Dipodomys ordii (Ord's kangaroo rat)
Lineage: Eukaryota; Metazoa; Chordata; Mammalia; Rodentia; Heteromyidae
Rfam family: tRNA
About the family: Transfer RNA (tRNA) molecules are approximately 80 nucleotides in length. Their secondary structure includes four short double-helical elements and three loops (D, anti-codon, and T loops).
Source: Rfam by way of RNAcentral